This is a long non-coding RNA of Solanum pennellii, 958 nucleotides long. RefSeq lists it as uncharacterized. The record is from RefSeq and is a predicted model, not a curated record. NCBI's taxonomy places the organism in Eukaryota, Viridiplantae, Streptophyta, Magnoliopsida, Solanales, Solanaceae. The transcript has 2 exons.
CUGUCAGCCCAUUGGCCACCUCCUUAUAAGCCCAUUCUAAACCUUUCUUUCUUCAUUCUCCUCUACUUAGCUCCUCUAUGAUCUUUCUUUAGUUUGUGCACUUUUUGUGGGUCUGAGAGCAAAUAUUGCACUGCAGAAAAGAACACUGAAAUCUCCACAAGGUAGCAUGUAUGAGUGGAUUAAUAAUGAGUCAGCUUGCUUCAACCCAAAGGCUGCAAAAACUGCAAAGUAUAAGCAGAAUGACAUGUUUAGUGGUCCUUCUUAGCCAUGGCUUUGGCUUUCUCUUCAUCUUCCUAACGAUGAGUGUCGCAUCCUCAUCUUAAUCUCGGUGCUAUCCUACCUGAGCUUUUUCUCACCGCUUUUUUUUUUUUCUGUUGUCUAUUCUCUCUUUUUUGACUUGUUGCCUUUCGUUCCUCUACCUACCCCAUUCUUCUUGACCUUGUAAGACCUUUUCUUGACCUUGUAAGACCCCGUGUUAUCUCUUACGUCUUUAUGUUUUGUUUUUUCGCAAAUCUUACGUCAUGACUUCUUCAUGUAAGGUUUGUUUGGUCUCCUUCUUCUUUCCUACUCAACUCUCGUUCUCCUUCCUUGUCUAUCCCUCCUGAGCUGUUGAUUUUAUUCCAUUUACAAUUGAACACAACAAAAAGAUUUGAAUUCAUCAUGUAUGAUUCCAUCAAGAAUGGAAUAUUCAAGGAAAUUCAUGUGAUGAUUUAUAUGCCCUAUUGUCCCUAUUUGUUGGGGUUAUGAAUGUGAAUUUGGAAUAAACAUUGUACUAAAUCCAAUGUUUUUUAUUUAUUUAUUUAUUUUUGCAUUUUGGCUUUUUAAGUUUUGUAACUUGUCCUUAGUAAUUGCUAUUUAUUUUUACUUGUUUUUAGUUUUGUUUUGUUGUGGGAAUAUGUAAUAGAGAGACUACAAGUAUUCUUCCAAUUUCAGGGUUUUUUUUUUUCAUGGACUUUGA